This 232-nucleotide long non-coding RNA is filed under the name Mytilus galloprovincialis (Mediterranean mussel). The record is from RNAcentral. Lineage: Eukaryota; Metazoa; Mollusca; Bivalvia; Mytilida; Mytilidae.
UGUUACCUUAAUUAGACUGCGAUUGAUUUCGGAAGCAGUUUUAACAUGUUUUGAUAAAACUUCUUGCUAGAAUUUGAUACUCACUGUUAUUUUUUUUUUUUAAAGAUUAUGUUUCUCAAGACAACUGUUGUUGCUGAUGUUUUAUUCAUGAAUAUACUAUGUUGAAAAUGCACAUGUAAUACUUUACGAAAAAUCAUGAUAAAGUUCAUUCCGACAAAGAGCCGGUCACAUA